ACAUUUCCACUGAAGAGAAGACCUGGAGUGACAGCCGACAGGCCUGUAUGCGGUCAGGUGCCGACCUGGCAAUCAUCAACAGCAGAGAGGAGCAGGUUGUUUUUGAUGGUCUGUCGGAAGAAUUCUGGAUCGGUCUUAGUGACAGUGAGAGUGAAGGUACCUGGAAAUGGGUGGAUGGAACAACAAUUCCUGUCCAGAAAGGGUUCUGGCUACCAGAGCAGCCUGAUAACUACGAAGGAAAUGAAGACUGCGUGGAGUUCAAUACCUUAUAUUCUGAUCCUUUUCAUAGAUGGAACGACC
Long non-coding RNA from Brienomyrus brachyistius, 300 nucleotides. RefSeq lists it as uncharacterized. The transcript has 3 exons. NCBI's taxonomy places the organism in Eukaryota, Metazoa, Chordata, Actinopteri, Osteoglossiformes, Mormyridae. The record is from RefSeq and is a predicted model, not a curated record.